CACACAGUAAACGAUAAUCACUAGGUGUCGGUUUCUUAUCAAUGGAUUCGGUGCCGUAGCUAACGCGUUAAGUGAUUCGCCUGGGGAGUACGAUCGCAAGGUUGAAACUCAAAGGAAUUGACGGGGGCCCGCACAAGCGGAGGAACAUGUGGUUUAAUUCGAUGAUACGCGAGGAACCUUACCCGGGCUCGAACGGUGCAUGAAUAUAUGAGAGAUUGUAUAGUCUUCGGACAUGCAUCGAGGUGC
Molecule: ribosomal RNA, 246 nt
Filed under: uncultured bacterium
Lineage: Bacteria
Description: partial 16S ribosomal RNA
Rfam family: Bacterial small subunit ribosomal RNA
Source: RNAcentral